CAUGCAAGUCGAGCGAUGAAAUUUUGACAGAUCCCUUCGGGGUGAAGAUAAAAUGGAUUAGCGGCGGACGGGUGAGUAACACGUGAGUAACCUGCCUUAGACAUUGGGAUAGCCUCGGGAAACCGGGAUUAAUACCGAAUAAAAUCACAGAUACACAUGUAUCCAUGAUCAAAACUCCGGUGGUCUAAGAUGGACUCGCGUCCCAUUAGCUAGUUGGUGAGGUAACGGCCCACCAAGGCGACGAUGGGUAGCCGGCCUGAGAGGGUGAACGGCCACAUUGGAACUGAGAAACGGUCCAAACUCCUACGGGAGGCAGCAGUGGGGAAUAUUGCACAAUGGAGGGAACUCUGAUGCAGCGACGCCGCGUGAACGAAGAAGGCUUUCGAGUCGUAAAGUUCUUUUAUAUGGGAAGAUAAUGACGGUACCAUAAGAAAAAGCCCCGGCUAACUACGUGCCAGCAGCCGCGGUAAUACGUAGGGGGCUAGCGUUGUCCGGAAUCACUGGGCGUAAAGGGUUCGCAGGCGGAAAUGCAAGUCAGAUGUAAAAGGCAGUAGCUUAACUACUGUAAGCAUUUGAAACUGCAUAUCUUGAGAAGAGUAGAGGUAAGUGGAAUUUUUAGUGUAGCGGUGAAAUGCGUAGAUAUUAAAAAGAAUACCGGUGGCGAAGGCGACUUACUGGGCUCAUUCUGACGCUGAGGAACGAAAGCGUGGGUAGCAAACAGGAUUAGAUACCCUGGUAGUCCACGCUGUAAACGAUGAGUGCUAGGUGUCGGCUUAAGUCGGUGCCGCAGUUAACACAAUAAGCACUCCGCCUGGGGAGUACGUGCGCAAGCAUGAAACUCAA
This 843-nucleotide ribosomal RNA is filed under the name uncultured bacterium. RNAcentral's name for it is "bacterial SSU rRNA". It matches the Rfam family "Bacterial small subunit ribosomal RNA", at positions 54 to 904 of the family's 1533-position model. The record is from RNAcentral.